UUUCCGUAGGUGAACCUGCGGAAGGAUCAUUAAUGAGUGAGGGCCCUCUGGGUCCAACCUCCCACCCGUGUUUAUUGUACCUUAUUGCUUCGGUGAGCCCGCCUCACGGCUGCCGGGGGGCAUCUGCCCCCGGUCCCGCGCUCGCCGAAGAAACCCUUGAACUCUGUCUGAAGUUUGCAGUCUGAGCGAAAACUAAAUAAGUGAAAACUUUCAACAACGGAUCUCUUGGUUCCG
Molecule: unclassified non-coding RNA, 234 nt
Filed under: plant metagenome
Description: partial contains small subunit ribosomal RNA, internal transcribed spacer 1, and 5.8S ribosomal RNA
Source: RNAcentral